GUAGGUAUAGCUCAGUGGUAGAGCGCAUACUUAGCAUGCUUAGUAUGCAUGAAGUCCUGAGUACAAUCCCCGGUACCUCCA
This 81-nucleotide transfer RNA is filed under the name Camelus bactrianus (Bactrian camel). It matches the Rfam family "tRNA". From Rfam's summary of the family: Transfer RNA (tRNA) molecules are approximately 80 nucleotides in length. Their secondary structure includes four short double-helical elements and three loops (D, anti-codon, and T loops). The record is from Rfam by way of RNAcentral. Lineage: Eukaryota; Metazoa; Chordata; Mammalia; Artiodactyla; Camelidae. RNAcentral also lists the same sequence under 1 other name.